AACGAACGCUGGCAGCGUGGAUGAGGCAUGCAAGUCGAACGGGAUCCAGAGAGUAGCAAUACAAUCUGGUGAGAGUGGCGAAAGGGUGAGGAACGCGUGGGUAACCUGCCCUGAAGAUGGGGAUAACCUGCCGAAAGGCGGGCUAAUACCGAAUGUGGUCAUCUCUCGCAUGGGAGAUGAACUGAAGGCGGGGAUUCUUCGGAACCUGUCACUUCAGGAGGGGCCCGCGUCCCAUCAGCUAGUUGGUGAGGUAACGGCCCACCAAGGCUUACGGGUAGCUGGUCUGAGAGGAUGGUCAGCCACACUGGGACUGAGACACUGCCCAGACUCCUACGGGUGCUG
RNAcentral lists this ribosomal RNA (342 nucleotides) under uncultured Lentisphaerota bacterium. RNAcentral's name for it is "bacterial SSU rRNA". It matches the Rfam family "Bacterial small subunit ribosomal RNA", at positions 29 to 351 of the family's 1533-position model. The record is from RNAcentral. Lineage: Bacteria; Pseudomonadati; Lentisphaerota.